This 550-nucleotide ribosomal RNA is filed under the name uncultured bacterium. RNAcentral describes it as "bacterial SSU rRNA". It matches the Rfam family "Bacterial small subunit ribosomal RNA", at positions 355 to 896 of the family's 1533-position model. The record is from RNAcentral.
UAGGGAAUCUUCGGCAAUGGGGGCAACCCUGACCGAGCAACGCCGCGUGAGUGAAGAAGGUUUUCGGAUCGUAAAGCUCUGUUGUAAGAGAAGAACGAGUGUGAGAGUGGAAAGUUCACGCUGUGACGGUAUCUUACCAGAAAGGGACGGCUAACUACGUGCCAGCAGCCGCGGUAAUACGUAGGUCCCGAGCGCUAUCCGGAUUUAUUGGGCGUAAAGCGAGCGCAGGCGGUUAGAUAAGUCUGAAGUUAAAGGCUGUGGCUUAACCAUAGUACGCUUUGGAAACUGUUUAACUUGAGUGCAGAAGGGGAGAGUGGAAUUCCAUGUGUAGCGGUGAAAUGCGUAGAUAUAUGGAGGAACACCGGUGGCGAAAGCGGCUCUCUGGUCUGUAACUGACGCUGAGGCUCGAAAGCGUGGGGAGCAAACAGGAUUAGAUACCCUGGUAGUCCACGCCGUAAACGAUGAGUGCUAGGUGUUGGGUCCUUUCCGGGACUCAGUGCCGCAGCUAACGCAUUAAGCACUCCGCCUGGGGAGUACGACCGCAAGGUUG